This 253-nucleotide ribosomal RNA is filed under the name uncultured bacterium. RNAcentral describes it as "partial 16S ribosomal RNA". It matches the Rfam family "Bacterial small subunit ribosomal RNA", at positions 524 to 776 of the family's 1533-position model. The record is from RNAcentral.
UACGUAGGGGGCAAGCGUUGUCCGGAUUUAUUGGGCGUAAAGAGCGUGUAGGCGGCCAGACAGGUCCGUUGUGAAAACUCGAGGCUCAACCUCGAGAUGUCGAUGGAAACCGUCUGGCUAGAGUCCGGAAGAGGAGUGUGGAAUUCCUGGUGUAGCGGUGAAAUGCGCAGAUAUCAGGAAGAACACCGAUGGCGAAGGCAGCACUCUGGGACGGUACUGACGCUGAGACGCGAAAGCGUGGGGAGCGAACAGG